GCGAAGUUUGGCGCGCAGUGCGCGGCGUUCGCGGCGCUGCCGGUCGACAACGCCUGGCUCGACGCCGAGGCCGUCGUGC
This 79-nucleotide transfer RNA is filed under the name Burkholderia plantarii. Its description in RNAcentral is "tRNA-Ala". Lineage: Bacteria; Pseudomonadati; Pseudomonadota; Betaproteobacteria; Burkholderiales; Burkholderiaceae. The record is from RNAcentral.